This is a non-coding RNA of Cyanistes caeruleus (blue tit), 529 nucleotides long. NCBI's taxonomy places the organism in Eukaryota, Metazoa, Chordata, Aves, Passeriformes, Paridae. The record is from RefSeq and is a predicted model, not a curated record.
GAUUGAAGGUUUUUUCUUAUUUUAGGGUAUGCUGUUCCUCCACCGACAUCACAGCCAAACUAUUCGAGCACGUACACCAUCAUUCAACAGCCUGCCACCACCACUUCUGUAGUAGUAGUUGGUGGCUGUCCUGCCUGCAGGGUUGGCGUGUUGGAGGACACCUUCACCUGUCUUGGUGUUUUGUGUGCCAUUGUAUUCUUUCCAAUUGGGAUUCUGUUCUGCCUUGCACUGAGGCAGAGAAGAUGCCCUAACUGUGGGGCAGCUUUUGGCUGAGGGGCUGAACGUGGACGUGCUUACGGAAGCUACAACUGUUAGCAUACUCUUUCUAAUGUAAAUGUCAUGUACAAUCAUUUUAUUUGCUUCAGACCUGUUUUGUAAAGUGUGAAGGAAUUUAGUCUCUUGCAUGUAAUUUAAACCUAAUCUUUCAUGAGCAUGUGCAUUGCAAAACAUGAAAACCUGACUUGUUUUCCAUGUUUAGUGGCACCUGUUGAAAACUAAAUAAAACUGCUUUUCCUUUUGCAAUCCUCAA